RNAcentral lists this ribosomal RNA (500 nucleotides) under uncultured bacterium. RNAcentral describes it as "partial 16S ribosomal RNA". It matches the Rfam family "Bacterial small subunit ribosomal RNA", at positions 30 to 523 of the family's 1533-position model. The record is from RNAcentral.
AUUGAACGCUGGCGGCAGGCCUAACACAUGCAAGUCGAACGGCAGCACGGAGCUUGCUCUGGUGGCGAGUGGCGAACGGGUGAGUAAUAUAUCGGAACGUACCCAAGAGUGGGGGAUAACGUAGCGAAAGUUACGCUAAUACCGCAUACGAUCUAAGGAUGAAGGCAGGGGACCGCAAGGCCUUGUGCUCCUGGAGCGGCCGAUAUCUGAUUAGCUAGUUGGUGAGGUAAAGGCUCACCAAGGCAUCGAUCAGUAGCUGGUCUGAGAGGACGACCAGCCACACUGGAACUGAGACACGGUCCAGACUCCUACGGGAGGCAGCAGUGGGGAAUUUUGGACAAUGGGGGCAACCCUGAUCCAGCAAUGCCGCGUGAGUGAAGAAGGCCUUCGGGUUGUAAAGCUCUUUUGUCAGGGAAGAAACGGUCGUGGCUAAUAUCCAUGGCUAAUGACGGUACCUGAAGAAUAAGCACCGGCUAACUACGUGCCAGCCGCCGCCGUAA